GACGAACGCUGGCGGCGUGCCUAAUACAUGCAAGUCGAACGCAGUGGGGACGGGUGAGUAACACGUGGGUAACCUCCCAUCAGAGGGGAUAAAACUUGGAAACAGGUGCUCAAACCGAUAAUGAUGGAUGGACCCGCGGUGCAUUAGCUAGUUGGUGGGGGAAAGGCUCACCAAGGCCACGAUGCAUAGCUGAUCUGAGAGGGUGAUCGGCCACAAUGGGACUGAGACACGGCCCAGACUCCUACGGGAGGCAGCAGUAGGGAAUAUUCGGCAAUGGGCGAAAGUCUGACCGAGCAACGCCGCGUGAGUGAAGAAGUUUUUCGGAUCGUAAAACACUGUUGUUAGAGAAGCGGUAUCUAACCAGAAAGCCACGGCUAACUACGUGCCAGCCGCCGCGGUAAUAC
This 404-nucleotide ribosomal RNA is filed under the name uncultured bacterium. RNAcentral describes it as "partial 16S ribosomal RNA". It matches the Rfam family "Bacterial small subunit ribosomal RNA", at positions 28 to 526 of the family's 1533-position model. The record is from RNAcentral.